Molecule: ribosomal RNA, 406 nt
Filed under: uncultured bacterium
Lineage: Bacteria
Description: partial 16S ribosomal RNA
Rfam family: Bacterial small subunit ribosomal RNA
Source: RNAcentral
AUUGAACGCUGGCGGCAGGCCUAACACAUGCAAGUCGAACGAGUGGCGGACGGGUGAGUAAUGUCUGGGAAACUGCCUGAUGGAGGGGGAUAACUACUGGAAACGGUAGCUAAUACCGCAUACCAUCGGAUGUGCCCAGAUCGGAUUGGCUUGUUUGUGGGGUAACGGCUCACCAAGGCGACGAUCCCUAGCUGGUCUGUGAGGAGGACCAGCCACACUGGGACUGAGACACGGUCCAGACUCCUACGGGAGGCAGCAGUGGGGAAUAGUGCACAAUGGGGGCAAGCGUGAUGCAGCCAUGCCGCGUGUAUGAAGAAGGCCUUCGGGUUGUAAAGUACUUUCAGCGGGGAGGAGUGAACCGAAGAAGAAGCACCGGCUAACUCCGUGCCAGCAGCCGCGGUAAUUG